UUCUUUAUUAACAUAUUCAGGAUGACCCCAAAGACUAAGCUCCAUGUAUUCAUACCAACAACACUACACAGCACCACCAUGUAAUGUCUCCACGAGGGUUAUGGAGUUACAUCCAUCAACCAUUCACCUGAUCAACAACGUACUCACAAUCAUUGUCAUAUAUCCCACAUAAUCAUAUACAUAUAUUUCUCAUAAACCUAGUAAGAAAUCACAUGAAACCAAUACAUAAACAUCAAAGCACAAGAAUUAAUUCAAGAGGAAC
RNAcentral lists this long non-coding RNA (262 nucleotides) under Vigna radiata. RNAcentral's name for it is "long non-coding RNA (VRAD_LNC004001)". Lineage: Eukaryota; Viridiplantae; Streptophyta; Magnoliopsida; Fabales; Fabaceae. The record is from RNAcentral.